UACGUAGGGUGCGAGCGUUAAUCGGAAUUACUGGGCGUAAAGCGUGCGCAGGCGGUUUUGCAAGCCAGAUGUGAAAUCCCCGGGCUCAACCUGGGAAUGGCAUUUGGGACUGCAAGGCUUGAGUGCGGCAGAGGAGACUGGAAUUCCUGGUGUAGCAGUGAAAUGCGUAGAUAUCAGGAGGAAUACCGAUGGCGAAGGCAGGUCUCUGGGCUGACACUGACGCUCAUGCACGAAAGCGUGGGGAGCAAACAGG
This 253-nucleotide ribosomal RNA is filed under the name uncultured bacterium. Its description in RNAcentral is "partial 16S ribosomal RNA". It matches the Rfam family "Bacterial small subunit ribosomal RNA", at positions 524 to 776 of the family's 1533-position model. The record is from RNAcentral.